This 247-nucleotide long non-coding RNA is filed under the name Phoenix dactylifera (date palm). RNAcentral describes it as "long non-coding RNA (PDAC_LNC020271)". The record is from RNAcentral. Lineage: Eukaryota; Viridiplantae; Streptophyta; Magnoliopsida; Arecales; Arecaceae.
GGAUGAACAACAGUUUGAAUUCUUAGUUUUUUCCAUUAGUUUCAAAAUAUUAUACAAAACACCUAGUAUCAGAAAUUUACACUAAUGGACUACUGACAUGCGAUUAGGACCACAUAUAGUUGAAAGGAAUGCAUAGACAUUGAAAGAACGAGAACUUUUCAAGCUUGUCUCUGGUAUGAGAAAAUUUUACCACCUCGAUCUAAUGGUCAUCGACCUUCAACUGUUGUAACCGAUAAUCCAUUUAUAC